This 253-nucleotide ribosomal RNA is filed under the name uncultured bacterium. Its description in RNAcentral is "partial 16S ribosomal RNA". It matches the Rfam family "Bacterial small subunit ribosomal RNA", at positions 524 to 776 of the family's 1533-position model. The record is from RNAcentral.
UACGAAGGGGGCUAGCGUUGCUCGGAUUGACUGGGCGUAAAGGGCGCGUAGGCGGUUCGUACAGUCAGACGUGAAAUUCCUGGGCUCAACCUGGGGGCUGCGGUUGAUACGUGCGGACUUGAGUGCGGAAGAGGGUCGUGGAAUUCCCAGUGUAGAGGUGAAAUUCGUAGAUAUUGGGAAGAACACCGGUGGCGAAGGCGGCGACCUGGUCCGAUACUGACGCUGAGGCGCGAAAGCGUGGGGAGCAAACAGG